GUCCAUGAAAUAAAAAGCCGGAACGUAUUGCGAAACUAAACAAAAAUAGAGAAGAUUAGCAUAGCCCCUGCGCACGGACGACGCGCAAAUUCGAGAAGUGUUCCUCAUUUCC
Small nuclear RNA from Cynoglossus semilaevis (tongue sole), 112 nucleotides. Lineage: Eukaryota; Metazoa; Chordata; Actinopteri; Pleuronectiformes; Cynoglossidae. The record is from RefSeq and is a predicted model, not a curated record.